CAAGGUAAAUACUCAGGUACUGUAGACACCAUGUGUCCUCAUCAAGGUAAAUACUCAGGUACUGUAGACACCAUGUAGAUGUUCUUUAAAUCUACUACUAUUUAUUAUAAUGUUGUUGUAAUGUCUUCCACCUUCUCCCAGUUCAUCAUGUUGUUUAUUCCAGGUGGAAUGGUUUCAGUCUCAUCAUGUUGUUUAUUCCAGGUGGAAUGGUUUCAGUCCCAUAAUGUUGUUUAUUCCAGGUGGAAUGGUUUCAGUCCCGUAAUGUUGUUUAUUCCAGGUGGAAUGGUUUCAGUCCCAUAAUGUUUAUUCCAGGUGGAGUGGUUUCAGUCCCAUAAUGUUGUUUAUUCCAGGUUGAAUGGUUUCAGUCUCAUCAUGUUGUUUAUUCCAGGUGGAAUGGUUUCAGUCUCAUAAUGUUGUUUAUUCCAGGUGGAAUGGUUUCAGUCCCAUAAUGUUGUUUAUUCCAGGUGGAAUGGUUUCAGUCUCAUAAUGUUGUUUAUUCCAGGUGGAAUGGUUUCAGUCCCAUCAUGUUGUUUAUUCCAGGUGGAAUGGUUUCAGUCUCAUAAUGUUGUUUAUUCCAGGUGGAAUGGUUUCAGUCCCAUAAUGUUGUUUAUUCCAGGUGGAAUGGUUUCAGUCCCAUAAUGUUGUUUAUUCCAGGUGGAAUGGUUUCAGUCUCAUAAUGUUGUUUAUUCCAGGUGGAAUGGUUUCAGUCCCAUCAUGUUGUUUAUUCCAGGUGGAAUGGUUUCAGUCUCAUAAUGUUGUUUAUUCCAGGUGGAAUGGUUUCAGUCCCAUAAUGUUGUUUAUUCCAGGUGGAAUGGUUUCAGUCCCAUAAUGUUGUUUAUUCCAGGUGGAAUGGUUUCAGUCUCAUAAUGUUGUUUAUUCCAGGUGGAAUGGUUUCAGUCCCAUAAUGUUGUUUAUUCCAGGUGGAAUGGUUUCAGUCUCAUAAUGUUGUUUAUUCCAGGUGGAAUGGUUUCAGUCCCAUAAUGUUGUUUAUUCCAGGUGGAAUGGUUUCAGUCUCAUCAUGUUGUUUAUUCCAGGUGGAAUGGUUUCAGUCUCAUCAUGUUGUUUAUUCCAGGUGGAAUGGUUUCAGUCUCAUCAUGUUGUUUAUUCCAGGUGGAAUGGUUUCAGUCUCAUCAUGUUGUUUAUUCCAGGUGGAAUGGUUUCAGUCUCAUAAUGUUGUUUAUUCCAGGUGGAAUGGUUUCAGUCCCAUAAUGUUGUUUAUUCCAGGUGGAAUGGUUUCAGUCCCAUAAUGUUGUUUAUUCCAGGUGGAAUGGUUUCAGUCCCAUAAUGUUGUUUAUUCCAGGUGGAAUGGUUUCAGUCUCAUCAUGUUGUUUAUUCCAGGUGGAAUGGUUUCAGUCCCAUAAUGUUGUUUAUUCCAGGUGGAAUCGUUUCAGUCUCAUAAUGUUGUUUAUUCCAGUUGGAAUGGUUUCAGUCUCAUAAGGGCACUGCGUUCAUCCACCUCUG
Long non-coding RNA from Oncorhynchus nerka (sockeye salmon), 1461 nucleotides. RefSeq lists it as uncharacterized. The record is from RefSeq and is a predicted model, not a curated record. The transcript is spliced from 3 exons. NCBI's taxonomy places the organism in Eukaryota, Metazoa, Chordata, Actinopteri, Salmoniformes, Salmonidae.